GGGACACGUGGUAUCCUGUCUGAAUAUGGGGGGACCAUCCUCCAAGGCUAAAUACUCCUGACUGACCGAUAGUGAACCAGUACCGUGAGGGAAAGGCGAAAAGAACCCCGGCGAGGGGAGUGAAAAAGAACCUGAAACCGUGUACGUACAAGCAGUGGGAGCCUCUUAAUGGGGUGACUGCGUACCUUUUGUAUAAUGGGUCAGCGACUUAUAUUCUGUAGCAAGGUUAACCGAAUAGGGGAGCCGAAGGGAAACCGAGUCUUAACUGGGCGUUAAGUUGCAGGGUAUAGACCCGAAACCCGGUGAUCUAGCCAUGGGCAGGUUGAAGGUUGGGUAACACUAACUGGAGGACCGAACCGACUAAUGUUGAAAAAUUAGCGGAUGACUUGUGGCUGGGGGUGAAAGGCCAAUCAAACCGGGAGAUAGCUGGUUCUCCCCGAAAGCUAUUUAGGUAGCGCCUCGUGAAUUCAUCUCCGGGGGUAGAGCACUGUUUCGGCAAGGGGGUCAUCCCGACUUACCAACCCGAUGCAAACUGCGAAUACCGGAGAAUGUUAUCACGGGAGACACACGGCGGGUGCUAACGUCCGUCGUGAAGAGGGAAACAACCCAGACCGCCAGCUAAGGUCCCAAAGUCAUGGUUAAGUGGGAAACGAUGUGGGAAGGCCCAGACAGCCAGGAUGUUGGCUUAGAAGCAGCCAUCAUUUAAAGAAAGCGUAAUAGCUCACUGGUCGAGUCGGCCUGCGCGGAAGAUGUAACGGGGCUAAACCAUGCACCGAAGCUGCGGCAGCGACACUAUGUGUUGUUGGGUAGGGGAGCGUUCUGUAAGCCUGUGAAGGUGUACUGUGAGGUAUGCUGGAGGUAUCAGAAGUGCGAAUGCUGACAUAAGUAACGAUAAAGCGGGUGAAAAGCCCGCUCGCCGGAAGACCAAGGGUUCCUGUCCAACGUUAAUCGGGGCAGGGUGAGUCGACCCCUAAGGCGAGGCCGAAAGGCGUAGUCGAUGGGAAACAGGUUAAUAUUCCUGUACUUGGUGUUACUGCGAAGGGGGGACGGAGAAGGCUAUGUUGGCCGGGCGACGGUUGUCCCGGUUUAAGCGUGUAGGCUGGUUUUCCAGGCAAAUCCGGAAAAUCAAGGCUGAGGCGUGAUGA
Molecule: ribosomal RNA, 1145 nt
Filed under: Escherichia coli
Lineage: Bacteria; Pseudomonadati; Pseudomonadota; Gammaproteobacteria; Enterobacterales; Enterobacteriaceae
Description: partial 23S ribosomal RNA
Rfam family: Bacterial large subunit ribosomal RNA
Source: RNAcentral